CCAUAGCAAUUUCCGAGUCCCUGGCACCAUCCAUUGACCUCUGAUUGAUGUUUGCUGAUCCAAUUAUUAUGUAUUCAUCAUCUACUGCAAAGGUAAAUUAAAUUGCUACAUCAUGUUUUUAGACUAAGAUGUCACAUUUGAUGAUCAGUAAACUAUAAUUAAGGGAACAAAAAAAAACUUAGAGAAGCAGUAAAAAUUCCAAGGAGAUGACAAAAAGACUAGGAUCUAUAAGAAACAAGUUACCUAUCAUCAUCUUAGCAUGAACAUAGAUCAUGAAUCGCCUUGCUUGCUGAGCUCUAAUGUAAUCUGUAUUGUUGCCUGGCUUUUCUGAAGGUAAAUAUUCCCCAUUUUUCUUCUUCUCCCUGUUGCCUAAGCAAAAAAAGGUUAAAUAGUCCUUGGGGUUUGCCUGAAGACCUUUGGCAUGGAGGGCUUGAAUUAUAUCAGUAUACAUCAUCUCCAUGGUCCUCUUUUGCCAAUUCAAUAUUACUUGAACAGAUGGACUCUCUGGCACACCCUCCGGCCACAUUGGAAUCACAACAUAGACUGUAAAUCUCUCCCCUUUCUCAAUUUUACUAACAAUUUUCAUUGACAGUUCUUUAGGUAUUAGAUGCAAAGCACCAAUGUCCCCAUCCUUAAUGUCAGUUGAGUACCAAGAGAAGGAGCUCCCUAGGAAAUAUUGAUUUUCAAUGUAAAUGAAAUUCUUUGCUCGACGAAUAGCAUUGAUAUAAGCAUCCUGAAUGCUUCGGUCAAUAAUGUUAUCUUUACCACUAAUCAGGCCGACUCUGGCUGCAGCCUCAGGAGAGUCUGGAAAUCCAAAGGCUGCUCCACCAUCAAUGGAUCGAAACAGCUGAACAUUCCAUGCUUCUCUGUCUUGUGGAAACAUAACUUCAGAUGGUGGUAUAAUAAUGUGUUCAAGUUCUCUUAGUUGAACUAGAAUCUCCUUGACGCCUUGUUUCCUCCACCUCUGCUCAAAAUUGAAGAGCACAUCCCAAGCAAUAGGUCCUUCUAGCUUGCAGUGAAUAUCAUGCCAAGGUUCCCUUGGCCCACCUUUCUUAAUAGAUGCACCAUCAAAAUUAGGCUGAUGAAAAUCAUCAUGGUGGGCAGUGCCCAAAGUCCCAAAAAUGCUAUGAAAAGGAGUAUCAUAUCUCCCAUCACAAAGAUCAAUACCACCGAUAAAACUCACAAUUCUCCUUCUCCUGGUAUCUCCGUUUGGCAUCUCGCUGUCCACAACAACAAUCUUUUGGUGAUGGGUAAACAUGGUUGAGAUUGCCAAGUCCUGAACAAUGCUACGUCCAUCAUCUGGAUUACGGGGACAUAAAAGACAGUGGACUUCAGUGUUUUGGAAGUAAUUUCCUGUUUCCUCAUCGUGAGUUGCCAUCAAUCCAUCCUGCUUCAGUGUCUUAACAGAAGUUCUAUCAUCCCAAACAAGCAUCAAAACCCUCACGCCUUCAUUGGCCUUUUUCUUAAGUAACUCCCCUAGAGUGAUGUCUCCGCCAGGCUUUUGCCUCCUCGAGUCCCUUAUCAAACUGAUUUCAGUAUAAACAGACCAUCCCGCUAUGUAAAUUAAGUGCUUCGCAUUAGAAAUGGCAUCAAAUACAUCUUCCCAGCAUCGGUGUGGCUCAUAAUACUUUCCCCCGGACAGAGGGAUUUUUGGAAUAAAGUUGUUUGGAACAUGAGCAUCUUGGUAAAGAGAAACUCUACACCCAUUUCUCUGAGGGAAAAAUGUGUAAGGCACACCUGGAUAUUUUGGACUUAUUAUUCCUCGAGACCAAGUACAUUCUCUAGUAACAUCAAAAUACUGUAGUUUCACAUGGAUCUUAGAAUGUCCAUGGAUUGGUUUAUGGUUUGUAUCAAGGAUCUCAAGCCAUCUAUCCACUUCUGCUCCGUACAGAAGUUCUUUUAUGGGCAUGUAAGCUCUUCCAAUUAGUACAGCCCCAAUAGGGUUAUCUUCUUUGAUGGUAAAUAUAACAUUGGAAGCCAUAUGGGCACAGUAUAUGUGAAAAGACUCGUACCAUUGGGGAUUGGAGUGUUCAUCUUUUAACAGUCUGGUUCGGCCAACUCUAGCCUUUUCUAGAUCGAUAGUUGCAUAAAGAUGGGAAGCAGUCUUGUCAAAACCUACAACUUUCUCUACGUCUUGGACCAGCUGUAUUAAAAGUUCAUUGGUGAGGAUAUGAGCGAAAUGAAAACAAACUAAACUGAAUCUUAUUGACGAAGCUAUAGUUGACCUAAACAAAACAGCUGUUUGAAAUUGCCAAAUCAACAACUACAAAAAAGAAAUGCUUGAGCUCUUCACCAGCCAGAAAAAAACUGUUAUUCUUCCAUUUGUUUCAUUGUUUGUGCACCAUAUUAUUUAAAACUUGCAUCAACUGCUUCUACUCCUUUACAAUAUACCUGAAUAUACAAUAUGAAAAGCUUGAUUUGGUACACCGUACACCACCACUUGAGUGUUGAAAGGUCAACUUCUAAAAGCUUGAAACAAUUAUAGUGUUUCUACCAAUGGCUUCCUAAAUGUCUUAGUAACGUUCACACACACAACACAUGCGGACACAUGACCUCUCUUUUUUAAUUAAUUUGAAUGUUCAAGUUUUGCAAAUAAAUAAACCGAGGAAAGCUGUCAAAACAUUUACAGCAAAAUUCUUCAUAAUAUUCUACAAGACUUUGAACAGUUUUGGCUCAUUAAUUAGCACAACUAAUCGUGUGUCUGUUAUAACCGAGAUCUAGAAAGGUUCAAAGGCAAUUCAUCAUCCGCAACAUUAACUAUAAAUGUGUGACAUGUGUCUAUUUGUUGUGCAAAAUUUCUUGUCCACCAAAAAUGCUUAGCAACCCAAAUUUGUAACUUGGCUGGCUGAAGAUGGUUGAUACAUUAUAUGAAAUCGAAAAAGUUAAUCAACUAAUUCAUCAAAUAUUAAGAAUAACAGAAAUUAUUAACAAUAACAGAAAUUCUGAUAUAAGCAGAAUGAAGUUUGAGAUUUUGAGUUCACAUCAGAGUUAGUGUUGACAAAACAGAUGAAGAAAAAAAAAGUAAAGAGGAAAAAGUCCUUCCUAUGAUAGCCAAGGCUUUUGGCCCGAAGCUCCUGUCACUUUUUCCUUCUUUAUUUCAUCUCUCAUCCCUUAUUCUUAUCCCUACUUGCACAUUGUUGUUCAGCAGCGACUAUAUUUAUAAAUUACUAAAACAAUUAACAGAGAAAAGAAACUGGUUAGGUUUUCAGUGUCCCAUAUUCUAUAAUACAUCUAUAUUAUACAUAUUGAAUUGCAUUAUGAGGAAUAACUCCCCUUCUUACUUGUCAAUUCCCUCAUAUCCAACCUCCGUAAUAUGCUUAGCCUUUUGCUAGUUAGACUAAUAACUUGUCACCUUUCUUUAUUCAUUUCUAUUGAUUGGACAUGACAAGAAAAAUAUAGUUAAAAAUCAAUGAAGAGAUUGACAAGGUUAAGUAUACUGUAAACAAAGUUGAAUAAGUCAAUUUUUGUUUUAAAUCUCUUACAACUAAUGUGAUUGUUCUGAAAGUUAUAUUGUUCAUAAGUUUCGAAAAGACUUUGUUCAAUUUUAAACACAUUAGAAGUAAUUUGUUGACAAAUCAUCUAGCAAUCAUGGCAGAUACUUUGAUAGUACAGCUCUGUUUCCUUAAAGUUGCUCCAACCUUACAGGAAUUCAACUGAAAUUAAUAUUCAUGAGUUUAUCAUAGUCUUGAUGUUUUGAACCAUUUUUUAGGCAUUAAUAUAUAUAUAUACACACACACACACACACACACACACACACACACACAGACUUGGAUAACAAAUUACACCUAAUGAGCAAGAAUUAUCACAACCCCUUUUGUAGGAACCACAAGUACUCAUACACAUAGAGAUAGAAUGGAAGAGUAAAAUGAAUAGAGAGUACCUUAUGGAAAAAUUUGCGGCCAAAACCAGCAUGAAGCUUGUCGACCUCAUAGAUAGUAGCAUGAAGGGUUCCAUGGAGCAAAAUCUGAGCCAUUUAAGCUGUACCCAGAUGGAACCUCAAACUUCAACUGCUUAAACUAUGUACAAAAAAGUUGUAUAUAGAGAGAACUUGAGAUGUGGGAGAUGAAAGAAAAAGGUCAAAGGAAGAGGAGAUGAGUAUCAAGCACGAUCCAUCCAAAGAAAUUCAACUUUCUCUUUUAAAUGGAGAGAGAGAGAGAGAGAGAGAGAGAAGGUGAAAUUGGCAAAGUGGUUGUGGUUUGUAUAUACAGGGUUUAAGUUCUACUUUAGUGGUUGAAUUUUGAGCAACAAACUAAAAAGUCCCUAUCAAUUCUCUAUUGAGUUGGGUCCCUACAUGUUGGGUUCUAGAACAAGUUUUCCAUGUGACCAAAUGAAAAGUCUCCAUUUGGUCACAUUAUCCUCGUUCAUAAGAAUCUUGAUUUCACUCAAGAUGAUUAGGAAGCAUGCCAUAUUGGAAAAAUCAAAGACUAACUACAGCUAAUAUUUCCAGUUGAGUGUCUCUAUUGCCUAAAGUAUCAUAUAUUUUAAUGCUAAAAUAAGUAUAUACAUAUGCAAAAUUGCAUUAUUUGCUUCGUUAGAAAAGCCAUCUAAUUUUAACAUUUUCUUAAUAAAUGGUUUGGAG
RNAcentral lists this long non-coding RNA (4579 nucleotides) under Panax ginseng (ginseng). RNAcentral describes it as "long non-coding RNA (PGIN_LNC018009)". The record is from RNAcentral. Lineage: Eukaryota; Viridiplantae; Streptophyta; Magnoliopsida; Apiales; Araliaceae.